UACAGUGGAGGGUGCCCCUCUCACC
This 25-nucleotide non-coding RNA is filed under the name Rattus norvegicus (Norway rat). The record is from RNAcentral. Lineage: Eukaryota; Metazoa; Chordata; Mammalia; Rodentia; Muridae.